CGGCGGACGGGUGAGUAACGCGUGGGUAACCUGCCUCAUACAGGGGGAUAACAGUUAGAAAUGACUGCUAAUACCGCAUAAGCACACAGCUUCGCAUGGAGCAGUGUGAAAAACUCCGGUGGUAUGAGAUGGACCCGCGUCUGAUUAGCUAGUUGGUAAGGUAACGGCUUACCAAGGCGACGAUCAGUAGCCGACCUGAGAGGGUGACCGGCCACAUUGGGACUGAGACACGGCCCAAACUCCUACGGGAGGCAGCAUG
RNAcentral lists this ribosomal RNA (259 nucleotides) under uncultured bacterium. RNAcentral's name for it is "partial 16S ribosomal RNA". It matches the Rfam family "Bacterial small subunit ribosomal RNA", at positions 96 to 353 of the family's 1533-position model. The record is from RNAcentral.